GAUGAACGCUGGCGGCGUGCUUAACACAUGCAAGUCGAACGGUGAAAGAGAGCUUGCUCUCUGGAUCAGUGGCGAACGGGUGAGUAACACGUGAGCAAUCUGCCCCUGACUCUGGGAUAAGCGCUGGAAACGGCGUCUAAUACCGGAUACGAGCUGCGAAGGCAUCUUCAGCAGCUGGAAAGAACUUCGGUCAGGGAUGAGCUCGCGGCCUAUCAGCUAGUUGGUGAGGUAACGGCUCACCAAGGCGUCGACGGGUAGCCGGCCUGAGAGGGUGACCGGCCACACUGGGACUGAGACACGGCCCAGACUCCUACGGGGGGCAGCAGUGGGGAAUAUUGCACAAUGGGCGAAAGCCUGAUGCAGCAACGCCGCGUGAGGGACGACGGCCUUCGGGUUGUAAACCUCUUUUAGCAGGGAAGAAGCGAAAGUGACGGUACCUGCAGAAAAAGCGCCGGCUAACUACGUG
Molecule: ribosomal RNA, 466 nt
Filed under: uncultured bacterium
Lineage: Bacteria
Description: partial 16S ribosomal RNA
Rfam family: Bacterial small subunit ribosomal RNA
Source: RNAcentral